RNAcentral lists this long non-coding RNA (283 nucleotides) under Physcomitrium patens. RNAcentral's name for it is "long non-coding RNA (PPAT_LNC012414)". The record is from RNAcentral. Lineage: Eukaryota; Viridiplantae; Streptophyta; Bryopsida; Funariales; Funariaceae.
AUCGAGAGAGUCAAAUUGACUUGGUUUACUACGAAUACAUUGAAAACUUUAUGCUCACCAAGGAUCAUGUUGAGGGGAGCACAUUGUUUGCAGUCGAUGAUGUGCUGGACUGCACUACACCACAUCGACAACUAUUAAAAAACAAAACAAAAAAUAAUGGAGAACGCAAGCAUACCUCCAGGACUCUAAGAUUUGAAUCAACGCAACUGCCUCGUAUCAUAUGAAAUAUCGAAGUUAGGGAGUGCCGGUGCUCUGUGGAUCUCUUACAUGACUACCUGUAAGU